RNAcentral lists this long non-coding RNA (243 nucleotides) under Gossypium barbadense (sea-island cotton). RNAcentral describes it as "long non-coding RNA (GBAR_LNC005149)". The record is from RNAcentral. Lineage: Eukaryota; Viridiplantae; Streptophyta; Magnoliopsida; Malvales; Malvaceae.
GAUAGUUAAUUAAGGAAAAAAGGGAUAAAUUGUAAAAAUUGUAAAACUUAAGCAGUACUAAUUUUAUUAGUUAAAAUGUAUGAUUAUUGAAUGUUUAAGGAUCUAAAAGGUAAUUAAAUCUUAGAGCUAUAGUGGGACGGUCAAAACUUGUAAAAUUAAUGAAAUUACAAGUUAAAUUUAAGGGUACUUUAGUAAUUAAAUAAUGAUUAAAACAUAAACGAAAGAAACCAAAAACUAUCUUCU